This 510-nucleotide ribosomal RNA is filed under the name Manis pentadactyla (Chinese pangolin). RNAcentral describes it as "partial large subunit ribosomal RNA". It matches the Rfam family "Bacterial large subunit ribosomal RNA", at positions 1918 to 2609 of the family's 2925-position model. The record is from RNAcentral. Lineage: Eukaryota; Metazoa; Chordata; Mammalia; Pholidota; Manidae.
UCACGUUAAACGGCCGCGGUAUUCUGACCGUGCAAAGGUAGCAUAAUCACUUGUUCUCUAAAUAAGGACUAGUAUGAACGGCUAGACGAGGGUUUUACUGUCUCUCAUCUGUAACCAGUGAAAUUGACCUCCCCGUGAAGAGGCGGGGAUAAUGUAAUAAGACGAGAAGACCCUAUGGAGCUUUAAUUAAACAGCUUAAAGUUAACCUAAUAUUACUCUAAAAGAGAUAAAAACUAAUGACCUAAGCUGUCAAUUUUGGUUGGGGUGACCUCGGAGUAAAAAACAACCUACGAGCGGUCAAAUCUAGACUAACAAGUCCAGAUAAUCCGUUAAUUGAUCCAAUGACUUGAUCAACGGAACAAGUUACCCUAGGGAUAACAGCGCAAUCCUGUUCGAGAGUCCAUAUCGACAACAGGGUUUACGACCUCGAUGUUGGAUCAGGACAUCCCAAUGGUGCAGCCGCUAUUAAUGGUUCGUUUGUUCAACGAUUAAAGUCCUACGUGAUCUGAG